UUUCGCAAUGCCCGAAAGGGUGACGAAGCGACGCCGCGUGUGGGAAGAAGGCCUUCGGGUUGUAAACCACUGUCGGGAGUUAGGAAAUGCAGGUGCGUUAAUAGCGCACUUGCUUGACUAAGGCUCCAGAGGAAGCCACGGCUAACUCUGUGCCAGCAGCCGCGGUAAUACAGAGGCGGCAAGCGUUGUUCGGAAUUAUUGGGCGUAAAGAGCACGUAGGCGGCCUUGCAAGUCAGUUGUGAAAGCCUUCCGCUUAACGGAAGAACGGCAUCUGAUACUACAGGGCUUGAGUACGGGAGGGGAGAGUGGAACUUCUGGUGGAGCGGUGAAAUGCGUAGAUAUCAGAAGGAACGCCGGCGGCGAAAGCGACUCUCUGGUCCGAAACUGACGCUGAGUGUGCGAAAGCUAGGGGAGCAAACGGGAUUAGAUGCCCCGGUAGUCCUAGCCGUAAACGAUGGGCACUAAGUAGAGGGGUUUU
Molecule: ribosomal RNA, 478 nt
Filed under: uncultured Planctomycetales bacterium
Lineage: Bacteria; Pseudomonadati; Planctomycetota; Planctomycetia; Planctomycetales
Description: bacterial SSU rRNA
Rfam family: Bacterial small subunit ribosomal RNA
Source: RNAcentral